This 66-nucleotide transfer RNA is filed under the name Polididus armatissimus. RNAcentral describes it as "tRNA-Arg". The record is from RNAcentral. Lineage: Eukaryota; Metazoa; Arthropoda; Insecta; Hemiptera; Reduviidae.
AAGUAAUGAAGUAAUAAUUACAUUUAGUUUCGACCUAAAAAUUAGAGAUAUAUUUCUCCUUACUUU